Nomia melanderi (Alkali bee) is the source of this 8671-nucleotide RNA transcript. It is a transcript of the gene named dopamine D2-like receptor, with no coding region annotated. The record is from RefSeq and is a predicted model, not a curated record. Lineage: Eukaryota; Metazoa; Arthropoda; Insecta; Hymenoptera; Halictidae.
GUGCCCGCCGAUCCAUAGACCACCGACGAGCCAACCCGAGGAUGUGGACGGCGACGCGCACGACGGCGAACGCGUCGAGGGAAACGACGCCGCUGAUCGCCGCUCGAUCCCGGCCGAACGGACACGACCGGAUCACCGCCCGGCCGAACGACCGCUAGACCGCCGUGCGAUCAUCCUCGGGAUCGGAAUCCACAGGUACCUCGAGUGGCGUCCCCGUUCAGCCGUCGUCCAGCGUCAACUACGCCCAUCGAGACGCACCGGAGACCAACGGACCCAGCGUCCGCUCUCUUCCCGUGGACUGAAUAACCGUGAUCGAUCCCGGACCGCGUGUGAAACUCUAUCCCCCCACCCCUCGCUAGCCGGAGAGUGUAAUCGAGCGGAUUCAACGAUUGACUCGGCCGAUGGGAUACCACGAAUAAAGGCACGGCGAGCCGUGAUCGAGUGACCGAGUGUUAUGAAUAAGAGAAUAAACCCCGGCGAUCGAUCGAAAUCUCGGAUGUCGGGAGCACGCCGGACCGACCUACCAGUGGAUUAAACGGUGCACGGAGCUCCUGGGUGGACGCUCGAAUUUCCUAACGAUCGAGAUUGCUUCCGGUAUUUGGCGACCGAUUAAACCGAGAUUCUCCGGUGGGGUCUGAGUUGAUAGUUCGAUCGUGUCGUUUCGAGGAGAGGCGCACGAGGCGGCCGGUUCGGAGGUUCUUUUCAGUGUUGAACGAUUACGGGCCGAAUAGUCGUAAUAAACCGGUGGUGGCGGCACAAUGCCAGGUGGUUUCGAUUGAAUAGAGUGUCGAGCGAGCGUUUUUUGAUCUCGUUGCAAAAUAUUGAAUCGAUCUGCCGCCGGUGAAUGGCGGGGCUUAGGACGACUUCCGUGUAUUCUAUGGUCGGGUCACGGUGCUGGGGAUCAUCCCCCUGACGUACACUGUGGGGAGCCGGAUAGAGAUAGAGACGGGCGUAUAUAUAUACACGGACGCGUAUAGAAAUCAGAAGAGAGAGAGAGAGAGAGGGAGGAGGACACUCGAUAUACACGCCGAUCUUGCGCAGAAUAUGGGAAAGGCACGAGGAGCACUCGGCGACGAGCGCGUGACACCAUGAGGAAAUUCUCGGGCGAAUCGACGUCGGUUCCGGAUUACGCUCUGAUCCGGUGGAUCGCUCGGUGCCGGGGAACGCGGCGCGCCCAGUGAACAAGCAAGCGCGUCGCGGCUCGCGCGGACGAUCCGCUUGAUCCUCGGAGUCACGCCAGCCGCGGGGAUCGUCCACGGGGAAAACUGUGCGGAGUCAUGGGCGAACGGUCCAACGUGGCGGAACACGUCGCGCCGGUGAACGAGAUUCUCGGCGGCGGAUUUCAAUGAUACGCGCCUAAGCCAGGGGCGGCGUUCGGCGCGAGACCGGCGGGAGGGCGGACCGGACGCAGCACCUCGUUUCCCGCGUGCACGGAGGAUCGAGCGGUUUUAUCGCGGUGAACGCUGCGGGGGCGAAGGGGGCGGCCAAUCCCUCGCAGCCGGGGCAGAUAACGGCCACGAGGAUGCCAGACAAAAUCGAAGAGACGGCUCUCCAGGCAGGACGCCGCUCGAGGAUCUCGUAAUUGGCCAGCAGUCGCGCAGGAUCCGAAGCCAACGAUCGAGAAUGGAGGCGAGGGGCAGCGUGUUCCGGCUGGGAUCCCUCGUGAUAGACGACGGGAACGCGUCCGCGUUGGAGCCGAGGCAUCCGGACGAACUGUUCGACGUGACCGUCGGAAAUGCCGACGCCGGUGUCCUGUCGAGGAGCGACGGGGACGCGUCGAGCAGCGGCGUCGAGCUGGCCUGGUACAACGACACGACAACGGUCGGCUCGACGUUCAGCGACACGUGGUACGGCGACACCUCGCCGUCGUCGUCGUCGUCGUCGUCCUCGUCGUCGUCCUCCUUCUCGUCGACGACCCUUGCCAGCGACAAUUUCACCGGCAUAUCCGACCUGUUCGUCUUCGAGGACCUGAACGACUACUUCAACCAGCUGAACGCGUUCGUGAACCUGACCUACGCGGGCGGAGCUGGGAACCUGAGUUUUAACGGGAGCCUGAAUUGCACCUCGUCGAUCGUCGCGGGCACCGCGGCCGGCGUCGUCACGGUCGGCGAGUGCGGCCCGGCCGCGGACGACGAGAAAACGGAAGCGAACAGCUGGUGGGCGCUAAUCCUGGUGAUCGUGCCGUGUUUGACGCUGUUCGGUAAUGUUCUCGUCAUUCUCGCGGUGGUGCGGGAGAGGGCGCUGCAGACCGUCACCAAUUACUUUAUCGUCAGCCUGGCUGUCGCCGAUCUGCUCGUCGCUGCGCUCGUCAUGCCGUUUGCUGUGUACUUUCUGGUGAACGGGUCGUGGAGUCUGCCCGACUUCGCCUGCGACUUCUACAUCGCGAUGGACGUCACCUGCAGCACCAGUUCCAUUUUCAACCUCGUAGCGAUCUCCAUAGACAGAUACAUAGCGGUGACCCAGCCGAUAAAGUACGCCAAGCACAAGAACAAUAGAAGAGUGUGGUUGACGAUACUGUUGGUCUGGGCGAUAUCGGCCGCGAUCGGCAGCCCGAUUGUUCUCGGCUUGAAUAACACACCUGACCGGCUGCCGAACCAAUGCCUCUUCAACAAUGCAGACUUUAUCAUCUACUCGAGCCUAUCCAGCUUCUAUAUACCCUGCAUCAUCAUGGUGUUUCUCUACUAUAACAUAUUCAAGGCGCUGCGGAACAGGGCGAAGAAAGCCAGGGCCAACCGGAAGCCGAACAUGGGCGACAUUAAACCCGGCAGUAUAAUCGAGAACAUCGCGCAUACCCGCAGGUUCGCGGAGACCGCGCUGGGGGCCGCUGCCCUGGUGGCGCCAGGGAUGGAGGAGCCAACGAACACGGCGUCGGGCAGCAACGAGGACGAGGACGAGACGCCGCUCGAUCCCGUCGUCGUCAUCUCGAACGACAAGAGCACCGAGUUCUUUUUGGCCACGGUCGUCGAGGAAGCAGCAUGUCGUUUCAGUGCAGUGGCCCAGGCCCAACUCGGCGGGACGCAGAACGCGAGGAAGGACUCCGGCUACGACGGGGCGGCGAGCAGCAUGGUGAUCAACGAGCCGUUGGAGACGAACUCGAGUCCGAGCCCGAAUCCCCGUGUCACCUCGGCCCCUUCGUCCUCGACCUCGUCGUCGCCGCCGCCGAAAGGGCCGACCGCGAGCUCCAGCUCGCAAUCGAAAAAGAACGGCAGCACCGAGGCCAACAAGCAGGAAUUAAAGAAGCUCAAGAGGACCGGCUCGCUGCUGCCCCUUCAGCUUGGACGGACGCCAAGCGUCCUGUCCGGCUCGUCCACCUGUAAAAAGGACAAGAAGAACGAGGCCGCUGGAUCGAGAUUCACGAUAUACAAGGCCAACAAGGCGAGUAAGAAGAAGAGGGAGAAAAGCUCCGCGAAGAAAGAACGCAAGGCGACUAAAACGCUCGCUAUCGUUUUGGGCGUGUUCCUAAUCUGUUGGCUGCCGUUCUUCACCUGCAACAUCAUGGACGCGAUUUGCACGAAGCUCGGCGCGACAUGUCAGCCUGGUUUCACGGCAUUCAUCGUGACCUCCUGGCUGGGAUACAUGAACAGCUUCGUAAAUCCCGUAAUCUACACUGUGUUCAAUCCCGAAUUUCGCAAAGCCUUCCACAAGCUCCUCAGCUUUUAAACGAGCGACGCCGUCUACGGUCACGUUUGUCUUGGGGUAAGGAGGAACAACGAGGCGUUGGACAAUCUAGCAGCUCAACAAUUGUUCCGACGGAAGCAGAAAUCCAGACCAGCAGUAACACUCCCUGUCACGCGUCACAGCUCGAGUCCCCGACGAUGUCAAAACCGGAGGUAGCGUGCAUCGAUGUUAGUCCUGAAGUUACCAGAUGAAUGUUUUAGACUAAUUAGCCCGAUAAAGGAGCGUCACGGUGUUAGUCACGCGUCAACAGCGAAUCGAAACGUCAAGUGCAGAGUAAUGUUCGCCAGCCAGUACCGUAAACAGCAGCCCAACAAACGAGCGAAACAAGGAACGCGAGAGCAACAGAAGAAAAAGAAGAAGAAGAGGAGGAAGACGAAGAAGAAGGAAAGUGAAAAAUAGGAUCGAAGGCGCGAGAACGUCGAGCCGAGAGGCUGACGGUACGCGUGCACGCGCUCUGUAGAUAUACUUCGUUGGUUAUUUAAUAUGCCGUGGCAGUAUUACCGUAGCUCGUAAGUAACAGCAAUAUUUUUUGGCUCGGAGCAACCGGGCCGAGAGACUCCGCUGUAUUUAUACCGCGUCCGCUCGGGACGAAGUCUCUUUCGCGACGCGUACGAUUCCACGACCCUGUUAUCCAUCCCCACGGAACGAAGAUCGACGGACGCGGUCCCCGGUAUCACGAUCUCUUCAUGAAUUUUGUAUAAUCGUAAAGGGAUCCGGGACUCCGGACGCUCGAUCCGCCGGAACUCGCGCGGAGAGGCAACGAAACAAAAAAAAGAAGGUUUCACUUGUCAAACAUGUCCGAUGCACACCGCUACCGUUUCAACUUCCGUACGGAACCGUUCGGAUCCACGCCGUCGUUCAACUUUUACGCCGCUCAUCGAUCACCGUACUUCCGAACUUUUCAUUUUCCGCCCGAACUUGCGCCCGAUAUUUCAUUCGAUUCCUCCGAAAUUUUCUUUCUCGCCCCGCUUUUUCCCCUCCGGUUGUGUAUCGAAACACCGGCACACAUGCGCGGCCGCCGUUCUAUUUUCGGAAUUUUUAUUGUCCACUUGGUCCCGCGCGUUUCAACGGGAAUUUUCGAAUUCGCCUUUCGUUUUUGUAUCCCCGGAUUUGCGUAUGCAAAAAGAUUCCGCGGCGUAUCGAAAAAUUUCCUCCGCCGCUCGCGUUCAAUUAAACGGAACUCUUCCGUGCGGCCCGAAUGUCGUUUCUCACCGACUGUUCAUCGUUUGGACCAGAGGUUCCCAAAGCGUGAGACGUUGAUCGAUUUUCUAUUAUAUUUGAAGGCAAUUUUAAAAUUGACAAUUCUGUAUUCGAAAAGAUUCAAAUAUGUAAUUCAUACGUUUACUGGAAAUCUUUUAUUGAGAAUACGUUGAAUCAUAAGUAACGCACGUAUUUGUAAGAAAUUAUUGUUUCCUGAAAUGGUUUUCGGCCCAUAAAAGUUUGAGAACCACUGGUGGGCCGCCAUUUCCGAUCGAAAUUGAUCCGGGGCGACGAUCUCGCGCUAACUGCUACGAGCGUUCCCGUCCAACGGCAAGAGAAACGGAAAUCGAUGCAGGAAAGGCGUCCGCUCGUUUUCGCCGGGCACGUCAGCUCAAGGAAUUUUCUCGCGAAGAUAAACAUUGUACGUUCACGGGCCGUUUCGACAAAGUGGAGACGCAACGAGAACACCCGUGUGCAUCGUACCGGAUACCGCAUCCCGCGGUUCCCGUUUAGACAGCGGAUUUUAUGCGUUCCUGACAAAUACGAGUGCAUAGAAUAUAAAGCGGAGAAACGUUCGCGAAAAUUCCGGAAUGCUGGUACCACUUUAUCGUGAACUUACUACGAUUCUUUGAAGAAGGAAUUAAACUCUAACCCUUGCUCGUUUACCGAGUAAACUUCUGAUCACUUCACUGACUUUGGUAACAAGUUAUUCAUUCAUUCUUUUGAUUCCCAAAUUUGUCAAAUGUAUUCUUGCUAUAUACUUCAGUAUUAUUGUUUAAUUCGAUAUUUGAUAGUCGAUAAAUUAAAAGUAAUUUGGCAACGUUAUUGUUCUGAUUUCGCGUAAAAAUCCGCUGCCUAUUCACGUUCCAUCUCCGCGCGCGAGCCUCAAGCCUCCCGCGACCGAAUUUUCAAACAUAUCAGUACGAGUACGAGGCACGAUACCUGUCCGUGCAUUGGCAUCCGAGACGCGUUUACACAGGCACGCGUGGAUUAGUGGGGCCACGCGAAACACACUGUAAACUUCACCGAAAAUAGAAACGUCGAAUGUAGUAAUGUGCUCCGGAAUCCAGUUAUCGUCGGUCUCUAUUUGAUGACGUAAUCCUCGCGUAAAGCACCUAUAUCUAGCUUAGACCUGACCUAAUCUUCCGUAAUCUCCGAUUAAUCUUCUGUAUUAUUCUAGCAUAGGCCUAACCUGUCAUUGAUCUAUGUUUAAAGUAGGACUAACGAUGUCCCUUGUAUUUUUAUUCGAUCCUAACACUCGCAGUUACGCUCGACAUCCAUCCGAUCUAGAUCUGACCCAUUUUUCUGUGCCAUCGUUCGAACCAAGUUGAUUGAAUGACACCAGAAAUAAAGUCUACCAAAAGUAAUUCAAUCAUUUGUAAUUUAAAGUGAACGAAGAAUAAUUCAGUUGACGGGAACGUUAUUUCUAUCUAUGCUUCUAAACGAGUCCACUAGCAGUCCCAAACAAGCGAGCAAAUAGAGAGGCACAUGACUGUAUUCUAGUUACCGAUCGAAAGGAACGUUUCGCGUGACCCGUGCUAUCGCAAUAACGUCUACAAUCAAAGCUUUUUACUCUGUAUGGACUCUACGAACACGUUGUAUCACGUAGCCGUAAGCUUCCAAGUGUAUAUUUGUAAAUAACUCGUAGGGACUAACGAAUUACGAGCUCGAGCCGCGCUAGCAACGCGGCGCGCGUCGAGUCGCGCUAAAUGAAUCCUAGGUACACCGCAAUUACUAAAACACUAGACGUAACGAUAGUGAGAGUGUAUCGCUAAACGCUAGGCAGAGCAUUAGGGAAAACUUCUUCUCGAUGAAUUGUGAUAAUGAUAGUUUUUAUUGAUGCUGCGUGCCACGUCCGUAGUUCGAUUCGACAUAACGCGAGCCUCUCUAAACCUCCCCUCGCAAUCCCUCCGAAAGAACCGGAAGCGGGCGCACCUUUGUUUAACGUCUUCGCUGCCGUGUCGCCUAUAAUUCCAUUGCUCAACAUUCGUAAAGUAAAAAUUCAUACAAUAUCACGUUCGAUCAAAGGAACACUCCGAUAAUUCAGUCAACUCAUUCUUCUCCCGUUUCGUUAAAGACACACACACAAUUCCAAUGUCUCAGAACGCGGGGGCGUGAAAGUUCAGCGGCGAGAGCGUUACACAAACUUCCAGCGAACGAAGAACUCGUUCGCGUUUUCGCCGCUCGAAACUCGUACAAUUUCAUCCCCCGCGGCCGGCGUCGCGGGCGGCGGUGUUUCCGCGUCCGGUUCUUUUUUCAUCAGAAAUUCCCCGUUGCACCAGGGACGCGACGCCAAUCGCGCGGCGGAACUAAUUUGCAUGCGGCGGGGUCGCGGGGAUCUCCUUUGAUUUGCAUGAACCAGUUAAUUCGCGUUCGUAAACCCUUUUCCGAAAUCGACCUCCGCGGAAAAGCCGUAUCGACGCGCGGCGAAUCUGCGAAGUUUGGCUCCGGGUAACGCCGCGAGGAACUUUUCCCGGCCGGAGACAUUUUAGGGGCUCCCCCCGAUCCGCGACAGAUCCCGCCGCGUGCCAUUUUACUCCACGGCGAGAUAAAGGAACCUUACGGCGGAUUAUUAAUUGGCGAAGUUCCCUUGCUCGGCCGCCGCCGCCGCCGCCGCCGCCCCCGUGCGCGAUCGUUAACGGGGUAUAAGAAAGUUCCCAGCGAACAGUCCCAGAAACACAGAAACGAUCCGUCGAUUCUUUUUACCUCGCGCCCCGAACCCUCGCGUCGAGACGCUCGGGCUAAUGAGUCCAUUAGCUACCCUUCAUCGAUUGUUUUUACCUUCGCGCUGACAUUUGAGGAAUCAGCGAUCGCGCUGACGGGGGAAGAGAUGAAUGAUUGAAGCGCGCGUUUGUUUUGUUGAUUGCCCGACUUUUAGUUUAUUGGAGCUCGAUCGUUUUAUAUAGGUGCAUUUGUAACAGUGGAAAUAUCGAAGCGCAAAUAUUUAGAAGCUGCAGCGUGUGUUCUGUAUAAUAUGAGAGUGGUAAUUCAAUAUUGAAAAGCGUUUGAGGAGCGAAGAUUCGGAGAGAGGAUAUUAUUGGGUACUUUUGUUCGGUGACGUAGUGUUUUAAAUAUUCUUUUCUAAUAAUGAUAAACAAUAAAACAUUGUAAACCCUUUUUCACCUUAUUCCAGCAAUUUUUAAUUAUUAUAUACUGUUUCGCGAGUUUUAUACACUGGUAGAUUAAAAAUAUGUUUACGUUAAACCAAUUUAUAUGAAAUACAUAGCCCGUGCUUCUUCAUGAUUUACAUAAAACAGCGUAAUAACGUGUUGCUCCGCGUUUUUGCGGAGGGUUCGCGGUUCGCGGUAGAUCGCUAAUUAAUCGUGAGCUUUCGCGAGCUAAUGGAUAAAGAACUACCGAAGCCUAGCAUUCUGUUCCAGCGUCAACGCGUCUCGCCGAACGCGUUAGAAUGUUUCUCGCGGUUCCGCGUAAGAUCGGUGUAUUUUUCUAACCUGCCACGCAACCCUUCUCUGUAUAUACCAUGUGUAUGUAUCAUGUUUGUGCACGCGCGCGACGCAGAGCGCAUUGCAUCCGUAUUGCACGGGACGAGGACGUGGAUUGGGCGUUGUACAUGUCGUGUAAAUAUAAAUAUAUACUAACUUAAUCGACGAGAGAGCGUAUACGAAUGCCUGCGUGUGGCCCGGGGAACCGUCCGCGGAUUCGAAACUGAGCCCGAAUCCCCGAUGAUCCCCGGGAUAUCGUUCGAGGCCGGUUUCUACCUCCUCGUGGCGCGAGAAUUUAGAGAGAGCGAGAGAGAGAGUGAGAGAAAGUGAGAGCGAGCGAGAGAGAGAGA